This 16029-nucleotide long non-coding RNA is filed under the name Ananas comosus (pineapple). RNAcentral's name for it is "long non-coding RNA (ACOM_LNC000529)". The record is from RNAcentral. Lineage: Eukaryota; Viridiplantae; Streptophyta; Magnoliopsida; Poales; Bromeliaceae.
UAUUAAUAUCUGAAUAGAUCUAAGGCAAAUGACCACUUAAGUUGUGUUAACUAAUGUGCAAAUACAUUUAUAACUCAUUCUAAAUUUAUUAUUUCAGAUUUCUCUAAAUUAUAGUGAUUAUCCUUUUAAAAAGUUAAGAUAAUGUGAGCAGUGAACACCAGAUACAAUGCCUCUUGGAGGUGGAUGUUUAGUACCUCCAUAUACCAACUGAAAAGCAUUAUUUUCUUGUCAUAUGUCACAUUAAAAAGUUCUCAUGUAUUUGGAAGACUCCAAUUGCUUGUGUAUUGUGAUGAUUGUGUAGUUAUAAAACCUUAAUGAUGGGAAGAUUUGGGCUUCAGGGAUAAUAACGAAGUUGCAAAGAUACGAUACAAAUAGAUAAAAAACUUCUUAAGUUCUUGUGGAUUGUAUCUUGACUAGAAUGAGUGGCAGCUUGAGAGAACCAAACCAAAUUGUGUAAUUAAUCUCCAAGUAAAAUGACCUCUCAAAUUGUCCUGUCACCUCCCCCCCACCCGCCNACUGAGUUUUCUGAAGCCUCUCAUCUUAUAAUUUAUAAGUUGAAUUAUGAUAAACAGCUGAGUAGCUUGUAUGGUCUUGUUUGUAGUCUCUAGACACACGGCAAUAUACCUUAGUAGCUUGUGUUAUUAUGAAGUUCGAAAUUUGUUUAUUUUCCAUUCUUUAAGAUUCCAUUUAUCUUGUUUUGUUGAUAAUGUAGAUUGCAGUAAUUUCAGUGAGUGGUGAACAAUUUUCUCUUUCUCGCUUACUAUCUUUUAAGCAAUGAACUUCUUACUGUUCUUUUUUUUCUUUUCUUUUUUUUCUUUUUUUUUUUUUUUGCCUUGUAGACAAUUUUUGACAAUAUUCUAAACCGUAAGAUACCUUGGCCUCAAGUACCUGAAGAGAUGAGCUAUGAAGCCCAAGAUCUAAUCGACAAGUAAGAAAUUAGUCUUGUGUUUAUUAUUUUAUCUGAUUUAGUGGCAUGGUCAUCUAUUGUCUCCUUUAUUAUUAUUAUACAAGUUCUCCAUUUAUUUUGUGAAUGAAGUUUUUUAAACUUAAUCUAACUAGUUUGAUGUUUCUAUAAUUCUUUUGCAAGUUUGUCAUUUACAGCCACAUAGUUGCAUCGUUUCUUCAAUAUAAGCUUCUUUCGCAUGGCUACAUUGCAGAAAAUUGAUUUCUUGCAUUUCCGCCUGCUCCUACAAUGUGUUCCACCAUUGAAAAUUUUAUUAUUAUGGGCAAUGCUUGUUAUAAUUAGCUGAUUUGUAUUUCAGAAAAUGGGACUCGAAGUUUAUUUACUUGAACAAUCUAAUGUUAGAUACUUAAUUACCAAACUGAAGCAAUUUUCAUGUUUUAUUUUUUUCCUUUCUUUAUUGUAGGCAGAGGAAUAUUAACUAUUAAGAUUGGUUCAUUCAUGAAAUUCUAUAGCAACCUUUAUUUGGUAUAUGCAUGAUUGUCUCCGAUUAGGACUUAGGAUGUUCUUAUUGAUAAGACUACAAAAAAUUAAAUAGAUGUUCUUAUUGAUAAGACUACAAAUAAUUAAAUAAGUACUCACUUCGAUGUCUUCCUCAUCAUAUGCUUGAAUAAGUACUUACUUCGAUGUCUUCCUCACCAUAUGCUUGAACAAGAAGUUGAACUAAAUUCACUUCAUGGUGUGCCACCUGCGGCCUGCUGCUGCUUUUGGAAGCACCAUAUGGUAUCAGAGAAGUAUCUAAGUGUUUCUCCAUUUGCCACCUGCUAUCCUGGGCCACAAAACUGUGCACGUGCUGCAUGCAGAAGAACACAUUUGAUCAAGAAAGUGUAUUCAGUAUUCUCCUAGUAGCUUUUGGAAUAUUUAUUCUUUUUGGAUUUGCAGGAUAAUUGGGCCAUCUAGUUUAUCAUAUGGGUUCUUAUUUGAUGUCUGGAGAUGAUAUGUAAGCAUGGGUGCUGAAACUUGGUUUCCUAGUUAUUUCAGUAUAUGAUUUAGUUGGACAUUGUGUUUCUUGUUAGAUUGUCCUAUAUUUAGGCCUUUUAAGUCAUAUUGCACUUCCAUUUGAAGUUAACAAGGGUUUGAGAGGACUACUAGUUAAUGGCUUUUCUUGGCAGUAAGGGUUUAAGGAGGUAGAAAUUAGAACAUCGAAAAGUGCCUCACCUUCUUUCCUGCUUGGACCCUUAAUCUGCAAAAAGCUCCUUAAUAAUACUUUUUUAUUUUAUUUUUUUAUCUCAGUGAAAUUUUCAUAGGUAAUCAACAAGUCUCAGAAUGUUCUCCUGUUCAGUAAACUUUAAAUCUGUAAUCAACUGAUUGCGGCCACGACAAUUACUCUUAAGUCUCAGUUAAGUCUUUCCUCGUAUAUGAGAAUUAACAGCCCCGACUGGAAGAAUAGGCAAAGGUUCUUCUCCAUGGGCUUAUUCAUUUGAAAGCAGUCUACUUAGGCCAAUUGCCAAGAGAUAGUUAAUUCAAGAUCGGAUUACUGGUUUGGCAACAGAUGGAGAAAGAAUGCAAUGUCAUAUUUUGUUGGACAUAACGCUAUAUGGAUAUUUUGAGAAAGCACUACUUGAAAAACUACUAAGCAAAAUUGCAUCCAAGUAUGAUAUCUAUGUAUCUAUUACAAUAGAAACUAUAGCUGUUACUUGUAAUUUGUAAACUAAACAAUUGCAAGAAACUGUUAGUAGAUUAUAGACAGAAGUUUACUAUGUUGAAGAAGAGUUAAGAAAGUGCGUCCACAAAUUGUAAUAUUUGUCAGCUCCAUCAACCCACAAAGUUACAUUUACACUCAACAAUCAUCAGAGAAGGAACCAUCUUUACCCAUUAUCCACUAGGAUAAUGAAAUUACCUUUUGUCUCUUUUAACUUUCACUUUUUGCUUGUUCGUUAGUAUUACUGAAAAUUAGUCACCAUCCUAGGAAAAUGAGCGUGAUUGCUUUUUGUUUUUUGUUUUUUUUUUCUGAAGUAGGAUACUUAGAACAGUAUCUUCCAUAUGUCCUGUAAAGUAUUCAAAAAAUGUUGCAGUCAGUAUGCACAUGGCUAGGGUAUUAAAAUAUCCAUGCUUCAUAGGUUAUGAUCAUAUUCUGCAAUAGCUUGUAUAUUUGUCAAAAUCUUAACUGUUAAGAUCUUUGCUUCUAUGCCUAUGGCCUUUCUCUUAAGAAAAAAGAUGUCCAUUUCUAUAUAUUGACUUCAUUUGCACUUUAGAAUGAAUGAGCUCACAAGAAAUACUUCAAACAAAUUGAAAAACUUAAAUAGCAGACUGGACAUUUAGAACAUAAAUUUGGAACAAUCUAAACCUUGGAAGUUCUAUUCCUACUCAUAAUCUUGUUCUCUAUUAGUUUCUAAAAAGCUAUCAAAAGUGAUUACUUCGGUGAAUUCUGUAUGGCUGUAUUUCAUUUUGCUGAUAACUUGCUUGAAUACCUUUCUGUAAAAGAGCAAAUCCUUGCCUAUCAUUUUCAGCCCUAACUUUCUUCUUACUAGUAGGAUGAGCUAACUAGGUCGAUAAAUGCUGAAUUCUGUAAGCUAGGAUUUGUCUGAUAUCAGCACUAAUAUAAUAUGAACUUCUGUUGCAUUUCGCUAAACAUUUUACCAAGUCAAAGCAGCUUCUGUUAUGUGCAUAUAAUAUUGUUUUCACAGCCAUGCAAUUCUAUGUGCAGCUAUCUAUCUCUGAUGUUAAAAUCUAGAUGAUGAUGCAAUUUAGCUUCACCUAAUGAUCAUCAAUAUUCAAUGACUUCUUCAUCUUUAACUUCCAUGCAGAUUAUUGACAGAAGAUCCUCAUCAAAGGCUUGGAGCCCAAGGUGCAUCAGAGGUAUGUUUGUGCUAUAACAAGUUCAAGCAGCACUUUCAUCAAAAGAAAUGUGCUGAAAUUUAAGAUCUGUAUCUUUAAUUCUUUUUUGAUAAAUUUAACCUAUAUGUCAUUAAUUCUCUAAAAAGAGCUUUUCUUUCAGGUGAAACAGCAUGUCUUUUUCAAAGAUAUUAGCUGGGACACUAUAGCAAGGCAGAAGGUGGCAUAAACUGAAAUGACUUGCUUUCUUCCAAGAUAAUAUUGGUUGCAUGUUUUUCUGUUUUUGAUUAAGAAAUAUCUCAAGUCCUCCUUUUACAGGCUGCAUUUGUUCCCUCUUCAGACAGUGCACUUGAUACUAGCUAUUUCACUAGCCGUUACUCUUGGAAUCCAUCAGACGAACACAUCUAUGAAGCGAGUGAGUUUGAGGAUUCCAGUGAAAAUGGAAGUGUUAGUGGGAGUAGCAGUUGUGUAAGCAAUCGCCAAGAUGAAGUGGUACGAUCCCUACCAAAUGAAACUUAGGAAUCUUGUUCUGCUAACAGUUUCUUGCCGUAAUUCUCGGAUCAAACAAAUAAAAUGAUAAAUGUUUCAAUUGAAUUAUUACUAAUGUUCUGAUGGCAAUAGAUUUUUGUAUUCUUUUUCUCUUUUGCUGGAAAGUGCCUAAACUUAUUAAUUUGCAAAUCAUGACAAACAGGGGGACGAGUUUGGAGGGCUUGCUGAGUUUGAGUCUAGCUCAUCUGUCAAUUAUUCAUUCAGCAACUUUUCAUUCAAGGUAAAUAGACAGCUCACGAAUAUAAAAGUUUUCUCUUCUGUACAUCUGUUAAUUCUAUAUUUGAGGCACAAACAACUAUUGGUUAUACAUGAAUAUGUAUGUUUCAAAUAUCUUUUUCUGUGUUACGAUAAGCAUUACAGUCCUCUUUGAGGAGUUGGAAUUAUGUAGAAAGAGGAGAUAUCUUUUUGCAGAGUGAGUUGCUCUCAAAAUUAAUAUACUUAGUCGGAAAACAUUGACAUUAAAUUUCCGUUAGCAGUAGAACUCUCUUCCCACUUGUUUGAGCCUUUGUUCAAUUAUCCCUAUGUACUGUGACAAAGAUGGUCUGAUGUCUUAGCAAAGAAGAGACAAGGGUGAGAAGAAACUUGACAUGAAAUCUAAACUCACUGAAACAUUAUCCUUUUAAGAAGAUUUACGAUAAUUAGUAUCACAACAGCGGCACUCUCUACUUAGCUAUAAAGUGUGCAUUGAGAUAAAUAGCUAAAACAACAUCAAUUCUAGUGCAUAAACUGAGGUGGAUUAGAGUUUUAACGUCCUUAUAAUUAUUUUCUUUAUAUGUUGGAAAGUUGGAUCCAAUCAUGGGCUGACUAUUGGAUCUACUUGUUGUAAUGUCUUCCCAUAAAGUUAUGCCCUUUAUUUUUGGGUGAAAAAGAAAAGUAGUUUUCGGAUCGGCAAGUCUUCUUUAUUUUAUAUUCAAUAGAAAGUUCGGAGUUAUUAAGUGAUUUUUCUUACUAAACUUGAUGAUAUAUACCAUUUAGAUCAAAUUUACUACCUAUGAGUCGGCUAGUGUGCCAAUUGUGCUACUAGCAGGGUGCAGUGGCACGAACCAUGCUAAUGCCGAUUAGGUAUGCCUUGUGUCAUUGGCGUGGCGAUCCUUGUCAAGAUAAUAAUAUCCCAGAUGCUUGUCAGUCUUUUGCAACUAGGGUUGACCAAACUGCUGGCUGCAGAUCAAAAUUCGGAUAAAAAAAGAUCAGUGAAGUAAAUAAUUUGCAUAAGAAAACAAAAAUCUCUCUAGAAAUUAGCUAGUGUACCAUAGAGGAGCUGCUAAAGUGGCAAAACUUCGAGAAACAAAAGAAAGUAUGAUAUUUUUGAGACAUUACGAGGCUUAAUUGUGUAAUAGAUUUAUCUGGAAGAAAAUUAAAACUACAGAUUGUUGUUCAUGUAUACCAGGUUCAUGGAGGCUUUCAAAAAUAAUUUGAAUCAAGUCCAGAAAAGCCUUGAAAGUUUAGAAUCUUUUGAAUUUGCAAACUAUACCUCAAGGGCCACACAGAAGACUAGUUUUCUACUUUCAUUAUGAGAAUGUUAUAAAAACAAAAGAUACCAACACAUACUCUAAGCCAAAUGACUUUAUAUUGAUGGAUGCUGAUAGAAUCCCAAAGUGAAAGUUAUUGGAAGUUACUCCUCUUAUUCACUAUAAUCUACUAAAUGUUCUAUUGCGAAUCGCAUGUUAGGAGAUAUCAUCAAAUAAACAUCUAGAGGCACCUGCUAUAUUAGUAAGAAACUUUACUAUGCAGAACCGCAGAAUUUCUGAGCUACAUCUGUUUGAUUUUUGUCGCACCUGCAUGCUUUGUCCCUUCUGUACAUUCCUUCUAUAUGUAUACUGUACUGUAAAAUCAGCCUAGUCAUCUCGUUAAUGCUUUCAUCACUCCAUUAAAAGAUAACUUGGCAAAAUCUUGAAUGUUGUUGUAUCUAUUCAAAACAGUGAUAGGAGAGUUUUUCAUGCGUGACUUUGUGCUUCUUUGCGGGAAAAAAACAAUCUUAUUCCUGCUUAUGCAUCCAGGACCUUUAUGCUUAAAAAAUGUGAAAAUGUUCUCUCCAUGCUAUGUUCGUAUCUUAUGCUGGCAUUACAAUUUUUUAUUAACUCAUUAUGUGCUAAUUGGUAAACUCCAUUAAGUGCUUUUUCUAUUUGUACUUUGCCUUUUCUAGAGGGUUCCUUAGCUCCGAUAGGAUUAUUUCACUUUGCAUGCAGAGAUCCCAUCCUGGUAUAUUUUAACAUUAUUCUGUGGGAAGAACAUUGAUAAAAAAUUGAAACCAAAACAACUUGAAAUCUAUCCAUUUCGUUGUCACUUGAUUUCCGAAAAUUCAUCUUAAGCUGGUGUGAUUAGGAGUAAUUUUGGCAUAUAGACCAUACUCUGUGAUGGCUUUGUUCUUGAUUAAGAUUUUUAUUGUGUGCUUCCAUAUCUUUAUAUUCUUGAGUUUAAACUUGUUCCAUGCCAUUCAAAUUGAGUUCUGUUAAAUCUCUUUUGUAACCUUGAUCUCUUAACUUUAGAAAUACUUUUUUAGAUGCGUAGGUACACAACGUUAAAAAAUUAUAUAAGCUCAUUUUUCUAAUAUAACUUCUUAUCUAUCAUCAUGGUCCUAAUGCCUACGGUUUCGCUGCUUAAUUGGACAUUUGGACCACAUGUAAACAGCAAAAGCCUCAAUGAAAAUUGUCUUCAUGGAUCAUUAUCUUUAUUCUGCUUUAAUAGCUGAUUAAAUUGCUUCUUUCCCCUUUUAUUUUCAUUUAAAUUCUCCUUCUACUUUGAAUUGGAUAUAUACAGCUUGUGUGCUUUCAAAAGUACGGAGGCCUCUAUGCUAUUGAAUUAUUUUCGAUAAUAGGACGUCCGAUUCGAUGAUCGGCUUUGUUAGACAUGAUCUAUACUAUUAAAACUAUCUAGAAACCAAAUUUUAUAAUUUUUCGCCAUCAUUUGCCAAGUGAUCGAAAUAAUCUAAAAAAGGGCUAUUUUAAUGGCCGAUGUAGCACGUUUGUAAAUUCAACAGUGUAAAACAAUCAAAAUUAGGUGAAAUUUUAAUAGAAAAUUCCCUUUUACCAUCAAAAGCAAGAUCAAUACUUCUAAUUUGAAAUUUGUGUAUUCUACUACUGUUUUUUAUGAGUUUUUUAUUUUCAAUCAUUUAUUUUGAGACUGUUUGUUCGCUAGGCAAAUGAAGUUAAAAAAUAAUAAAAUUUGGUUCUAAUAGGGUAGUUUUUGUCUAACGGAGCCGAUGAUUGAAUCGAAUGUCCUUUUAUCGAAAACAAUUUUAAAGCAUAGAGGGCUUUCGAAAGCAUAUUGUUCUAUGUAUAUAUAUAUAUAUAGAGAGAGAGAGAGAGAGAGAGAGAGAGGUGCUAUUAAUAGCACCAAGCAUUUGAUGCUACCAACUUUUUCACUAUUAGAACUACCUCUUUGACUAUUUCUGCCCUUUAGAUCAUACUGUUCCACCAAUCACUAAAUCCUAGGAUGACCACUAUCAUCAUAACCCCACAACCCUUCAUUCAAGGGCCAAAAAAUCCUUAAGCACUAAUGAUUUAGUACUAUUAGAAGCAUUCCAGCCAAGUUCUAUAUGUGUGUGUGUGUGUGUGUGUGUGUGUGUGUGUGUUUGAUAUUGCAAUUAAAUCAUUCUUUAUACUAUUUUUCUGACCAUGUCAACAAAAUAACUGGACUGCAUUUCUGGUGAUAGAAUCUUUCCCAGCUUGCAUCAAUCAACUAUGAUCUGCUCAGCAAGGGCUUGAAAGAAGAUCUACCACCAAAACCAGGAAGUUGAAAAAGCAGUUCUGUCGGAAGUUUCUCAUUGAUUCAAAUUAAGCAGGAACCAUAAAGCACUUGAAAUGGAGCUUGUACAGCUUGUAAAUGUAAGCUUAUUACUUUAGCUCUUCAGUUUUGACUAUAAGGGCAUGUUUGGUUCAUGACUGAAAUGGAAAUGGGAAAUGGAAUCGGAUUGCAUUGAAAUAGAAAAUGGAAUCAUCCAAAAAUGUUUUGUUCAUUAUUUGAAUGGAAAUCGGAAUGAACAUCUAGGGUUUUGAGAGAACGUUUUGGUUAAAAGAGACUGAUGAUGUGAGAGGAAGGGGAGGUGUUUUUGAGAGAAGGAUUUGAGUGGUUUAUUUUGGAAUGAGUCAAUUCUGAAUUCAAAGCUGGAUUAAGUUAUAAAUAGAUUUGGCCAUUCCCAUUCCAGAGUGGAAUGGAAAUCGAAAUUCAAUUCUAGUAGAGCAAAUAAGAACUAUUGGUAUCAAUGAAUUUCAUUCCGAUUCCAUGGUGUAAAAUAGGGGACCCAGGCAAGCCCUAAGAGUUUUAUUAAUUCUGGGUUUACGUUAGUUCUUCCAGUUUCGUGUUAAUUCUGGGUUCUCUUUUUUUUUUUCUUUUUCUUUUUUUUUUUUUUUUUUGUUUCCCUCAGAUUGGAGCUCAAGACACAUGGCAAAAGCCUUUCUCCUCUCCCUAAGCUGCAGCAUUGUUGCGUGAAGUUGACCUACACUUUUAGCACCCAUGGUCUUGCGUAUUAGUGUUAUCAUUCACGGCAACAAGAGACAGCCUUGGCCAUCAUUUUUGUCCUUUUUGUGCUGAUGUUUUUACAGGGUAAGAUGGAUUAGCCUUAGAUUCUUCACCACCCCCAUCUUCCCUUAAAGCCAAGUGAGGUCAUGGUCCAUGUUUCUUUAAAAUUGAGGGAGAAAUAGAGAGAAAAAGAGAGGUAGGCUUUCAUUAUCCGGUUCUUGGCAUUGGAUGGAACAAAUGGUUAUUGAAGGUAAAAGGAUUCAGUUUUCCAUUUGGUUGAUCAAUUUUUGUGUUGCGCUUUAUGCUAUGUACCCUUCAUCUUUAUUCUUUGUUGGUGAAAUGUAUGGAGGCCACCUCAACUACAUAGCCCAUUCUGACAUAUAGACCCCCCGAAGUACUACCCUUUGUCAUUGAGAGAGGCCCCUCCUCUACUUUUGAUUAUUUCGUACAGAGAAAUUUUAGCCAGUUAAUUUGGAGAUUUUACGGAAUUGAUCGACUAUUUUAUCAGAAUUAAUUGAUUGAAUCCGCUAGAUUGAUUAACUUCUAAUAGUUAAUUAAGUGACUAAAUUAAUAAAAUUUUAACUUAAUGGGCUAUAAAUUUUAAUUUUUUUUUUAAAAAAAAAGAAAUCGGGGGGUUGUUAAUUAAAAGAAUUAAUCUAUUUCGAAAUGGCGCAGAGUUGAGGGGGUCUUCAUGUAUUUCUAUCCUUGUUUAGCUUUUACUGUAGCUUUAUUUAGGAAAUAAUUUUCGAUCUAAUCUUGUUGUGCUGAUUUGGAAAAAGAGACAGUUAAUUUUUUUUUAUUUUUUUUAUUUUUUAUUUUUUUCUGUUGACGUCACUGGCUGCAGUUUCGCUGCUGCUGCCGCCAUAGCCAUGCCACCUGUUAUCGCCGAUGGUGGUGUUUCCGCUGCCACCCUACCCUCUCUAGCGCCCCGUCUUCCCAUCCCUUUAUCUCCUCUUCCCAUCUCUCCCUCUUUCUGCUUUCGUUUUUCCUACUAGUCCGUCAUCGUCGUCUCGCCACCCCCUGCCGCCGCCGCCGCUCCUGUGGCGCCAGUCGCCGCUCCAUCCCUCUCGUCGUUGCCGCUCACCGUCAGCCACCGCACGCUGCUGCACAACCCAUUUUGUGUUCGCUCUUCCAUCAUCAUCAUCAUCAUCAUCAUCAUCAUUGUAGUGAGCUAACGACGAAAUCCUUACUAUUAAAAUACUAAUCACACUAGUAAACAAAUGUGACGUAUCUAAAUUAUCCACAAUCAAGAUAUGUUAGAUUAGAGUAAAUGAAGUUGAAAGAAAAAUAUCCUAACACAAUAACAACAAUACAAGAGGAUUUAUGUGGUUCACCCAAAUCAGGCUACAUCCACGGGCACGAAAAGGAUUACAAGAUUUGGUUAGAAAUUACCACUCUAUUAUAAUGGACUUGUGACCUUCUAAUUAAGAAAAUCUUUUUUGCUAUACAUUCAUCUAAGCACCUUUUAAAUCCGCAAAACCCGCUUUGAAAUGCCUCUUAGAAUUUCUCUAAUCAACCUGGAAGCUUUUGAAUCAAGCAAGAAAAACAAGAGAGCUAUUUCUCCAACCCUCUCUACACCUCUCUUCUCUAUCUCAAGAAAAGGAAAAUCUAGAGAGCAACCCAAAGAGAUUCUCUCUUAACAUUACUUGGCCCAAUAUACCAAAUAGGCCAACUAAAGUCCAAACCAAUUAUUAACUAGCCCAUUAGUCCAAACCAAUUAUUAACUAGCCUAUUAUAUGAGUUGUUGAACUAAAUCUAAAAUAAAUUAAUUAGGCUAAUAAUUGAAUUUGAUGUCACUAACCCAACAAUCAUUAUCAUCAUAAUUACUAUUAUUAUAAUGCCGGUCACCUCGCAAUGCCGCCGCCUCGCCGUUAGCCUGCGGGGCCUAUAAUUUCUAUGUUAGUUUCUUGCCACCAUGAAUAAGAAGACUGUAGCGGCACAAUACUUUCCAACAUCCAAAGAGCAGUUCGCCUUUUUCUUUUUUUUUUUUCUUUUUUUUUUCUUCUUUGCAUGCCGUACAUGCUGAAACUUUUUUUUUUUUUGUUUUUGUUUCUUCUUUGCAUGCUGUAUGAUUUCGAUUUUUGUACCCCAUUUGUAGGAGGCGAUUUUUUGCUCGUGGUUCAUCAUCGUUCACGAUCUGCAAGAAAACGGAACGUUUCGAGUCUAAUCCCUUAUUCCCGGAGAUUGAGCCGUCACAGAAAAUUGAAUUAGAAUUAGAUCUGAACUCCCGUAUGUUAUAUAUUUAUAUAUAACUUAAUAUAAGAAUAUUAAAUCACAUUCGCCCAUCAAGGACGUGUCCAUAUACAUCCUAACCGUUAUAUCUACCAUAUUUUUAUAGAUCAGUUUGAAUAAACCGACUGUAUUUUUAUAGAUCGUUUUGAAUAAAUCACAUAGGCCACAUCCAAUAUUAUCUCACUUGGCCUAGUGAUAUAUUUAUAAAACACCACCACAAAAUAAAUUUCUUUUCUCGUAUGUUAGAAAUUAAUCGGUACAUCACAAAAACGUAGCGGAAGGUAAUUUUUUAUUUUAAAAUUUUUCAGAAGCUAAAUAUAUAUCACAUAUGAAAAUCAAAAUCUAAGAAAUUAAUCUAGUGCCAGCAGAUUAUUCUUAUAUUAUUAUGCAAAAAAUUUAAUCUAAAUAAAAGCUCUUUAUAUUUAGUGAUCUUAUCGUGGAUCAGUUAAGAUUUCUUGAUUUACUGUGCGGUAGGUAGUAUAUGUUUCGAUCAUUAAUUUAAGGUUCUGUUAUAGCUGCACACGUGUUCGACCUCUACGCGCAUACACACAAAAUCCACGCAUACCCGAUCGAUUCUCAUCUCACGAACCGGAUGAGUUGUGAACCAUUUGGACGAUACUAGCAAUCCCUUCAUGAUUUACCAGCCGACGAAGAAUAGAGAAGUUGAUCGGAAAAAGAUACGUGCGUGGCAGACAAAUCGAAAAGUGAUUGAUGUUAUAUGCGUAUACAUACAAAAUCCUCAAAUUAAUUAAGGAGCAUGGCACUUUAAUUAAGGUAGACUUUCAAUCUUAUGGCACUAUGUGCCGUACGGCUUCUGCCCUUUUUAAAAAUUUUUUUUUUUAAUCUCACAACUUUUUGUACGUAUACAUUUACACCUAUAUGUACAUAUAGAAAUCCAUUUGGUAAAAUCUUAUCUAAUAAGAUUUUCUCUCUUCAAUAAAAUUAGGAAAAACUUCAAAUAUCCUCUCUGUGGUUUCACUUUUUCUCACUUUAAUAUCCUGUGGUUUAAAGUGUAUCAAGUUAAUACUCUGUGGUUUUGUACUUUCUCACUUUAGUACCCUGUGGUUUCAAGUGUAUCAAGUUAGUAUCCUGUGGUUUUGCACUUUUUCACUUUAAUAUCCUGUAUUUUAAUAUUUCAUUAAGAGAAAAAUAAAAUCACAGGAUACUAACUUGAUACAAAAAUAAAACUACAGAGUAUUAACUUGAUACACUUUAAACCACAGGGUACUAAAGUGAGAAAGUGCGAAACCACAGGGUACUAACUUGAUAUAUUUUAAACCACAGGGUAAUAAAAUGAAAAAGUGCGAAACCACGGGGGGUUUUCGAAGUUUUUCCAUAAAAUUAAGUAAUUAAAUAUUCAUACUUAUCUAACUAAAUCAAAUCCAGGUAAAAUCUUAUCUUAUAAGAUAUUAUGAAUAUUUAAUUAUUCUCUAAUCCAAUUAGAGAUAAAUAUUAAUUUACUUCGUAUUUAAUUAGAUCUUAUCUAAUUUUAUCCUUAUCUAAUAAGAUUAUUUACUAAAUAUUUAAAUCUCGUUUAAGUAUCUUUUAUGAUUAAAUAUUAUCCACUAAUCCAAUUAGGGAUAAAUUUAAAUCUCGCACAUAAUUUUCAAACUGAUUCUAAGAUACUAAUCUAAUUAGGAUUGUCAGUAAUAACUGACUUGAAUAAUUAAAUCUAAUUUAAUUAACCAGCUUUCUCUUGUUUUCAUCGCUUACACUAAACUCUUUAGUGAACGACUCUCAUCCAAAAGAUUCGAGUGCACACAAUUCCUAAUGCGUAUGAUCGCAUAGGUUCAUUACCAUUCAGCAGUGAAGCUCAACAUCAAACUUCUUGAUAUUUAGUUAGAACUCUUCUAAUCGAUAAAUAAUAAUAAUUCAAUUCAAAUCAUUCAUAUUCUCUCACCGUCCGUGAGCACUGAGUAACACCAAGCAGUAUAUCACGACAAUCCAGAAUGGUGGUAACGAAUGAAUCCUUCUGCUUACAGUUGCCGUGUGACUAAUUCCUUCCAACAUACAAUGUCCCAAUCGAAUUAAGAUCAUGGUUACUCGUCAAACCUUAUCAUUAGACUAUAUGAUUAGAAUAUUUGAAAUCAACUCAAUAUAAUAAAACAAUUGGAAGCUCUUUUCACAUACAAUGUACCUAGGCCAGGGAUUUUCCGAGUCAAGUCUGAUAAACUGUAUAGAACAUUCUCCAUCAUCAUUGAGAGUAUUGGAUUUCUUAUUUCUCAUUUAUAUGCCUCACCGCAUAAAUCACUACAGUCAAUCAGUACCGAAUAUAGACCCGUGUCCAGAGUCUAAAUAUUAGGACUGUCAAAUUGUAGCAACCUAUACGUGAAAUAACUAUAAUGCCUCAGAUCUGAGGAGUAUUUCACACAAUUGUAGUAAUAAACUUAUCACUGGCAAGCAUGAAACAAUAUGACUGUUCAACUAAAUAGUCACACUAAGUGUACUUGUUCUCUAGCAAGCACCUAUAUGCUUGUUUUAGUGUCCUUACAUUAGUGACUUGAGAUUCGUCACCUCAAUUAGAAACAUAGUAUACUGCGGCCUAUACGAAAUAUUACCGUCCCUGUAAUAUUUCUCUGGCUAAGAGUAUUUAAAAAGUCUCGUACAAAAAUAUACAUAUCUCAAAUUUCUAUGUCACGCCCCGGGGUCCCUUUUAGUUUAAAACAUAGCGGAAAAGCGUCUGAAUUUUUUUUUUUUUUUUGAAAAGCCUGACCCCAGAGUAUGCCAGAUCCGCCACAAACACAGGGAAUCCACUGUUCACACGGACAGAGUCUCCCCUAUAUUUGCACGGCGUCACACAAGUACAAGAANUCAACAGAGAGUUUAGUUGCACUGUCAAAAAAUCUCAGUCCUUACAUUCUAACUCUUAGAAAUAUGCCUUUUUAAACAAAGACUCUAUGGACGAUUCCUACCAAUAUUGCAUAGAUAUGAAUAGAAUAUCUGUUCUCAUAUUAUGAAUUAUAAAUGAUUAAUAUAUAAAUACCCUUAAGCUAGUAUCACCAGAUUGGCUUUUGGACAUAUAACUAACAAUCUCCUACUUACAAUAAAGCCAAACAUUCACAUAUUUAUAUGCGUCAUUUAAAGUCAACUCUUCAACCCUUAGAGAGUAAACUUUUUAACUAGUGCAUCCAUUGAACUAUUCAUGAUUAUUAUUUUCUACUUAGCAAUAUUAUUGGAAGUAUAAAUCAUUUCCAUCCACAAAAUAUGUCUCGAUCAUUGAUGAGAUCUAGACUCUAUAUGAACCAUAUCGAGUUCUAAACUCCAUGAAUCAGAAUAUAUUCUUUAGAACAUCUCAUGCAGUGCCACACUUAGCCCACAUGAUAUCUUGUUCGAACUCUUCAAGCAAUAUCAACUUUAAUGAAAUCUCUCUUUUCUCUCUUCAGUGUCAAUGCUUCACAAGUAUCAAGUAAUAUCUAUCAUUAACAUUUACUGUAUCAAUCGUCGUACAUAGAAUAAUAUAUGUGUAGGUUCUAAAUAUCGAAUCAUAAAGGAUCCUAUAUAAGUGUAUCCUUUCUUACAAUAUCACACAUACUGUUAGAGACGACUUCCUCCCAAAGGAUAAUAAUGUCUCUCGUUAGAAUUCAAUCUUAUUGAUCUCUUCAACAUAAUCUUCUAUGGACGUAGUUCAAGCAAUUUAUCAGACCUAUCUCUAUAGACCCGUAUUCUUCAUAUGAAAAUAUAUAACUAGAUUUUUCAUCGAGAAGUUCUUGACAAUCAAUAUUAUCAUACAGAUUAAGUUUCUUAAAUAUCAAAUAUUGCUUAUGUACAAUACGUAAAGCACAUUCUAUUGUCAUGCCUCGGGGCCGAUUUUAAAAGCCUUUUUAUAACGAUUACCAUUUCAGAAAUCAGAGUUGCGGAAAACGUGUCUUUUUUUUUGGAAUGCAACCUGGCCCACGUGAUGUACAAACCCGCCACAAAUACAAAGUUCCUCUAUCCACUCGGACAGAGUCUCCUUUGUAUUUGCACGGCGUACAAACAACAACAUCAGGAUCUCAACAACAACCUACAUUUACAAUCCACAAUCAAUUCAUGUCAUACAUUUUCAUAUAGCUAGCGAUCCUUAGAGAUGAUGCAUGCCCCAAACACUCUUUUGGCGCUGGAUGAUGCAAUGCACGGUACAACAAUCAUCCUAUUUAAAAGUACUCCCCACCCAGAAGCUUUGUUUUUAAACUCUAAUUCAAUCAUUUACAAAAACCAUUCGAAAAUUCUUUUAAAAAUUGUUUCCCACUCAGAAACUCUAUUUUGAAAACCUACUACUUCGAAGGGUAGAAAACCACAAAGUAUACAUAAAUCCAAGAACCAUUAUUCAUAAAACCAAAACCACAGAUCUAAAAUCUCCAAUCACAUGCAUAACAGGAAAUCACCAACUCAACAGUUCAUAAAUAUUCAAACAGUAUUAUUGAUCAUCUAACUAAACCAUUUAAUUAUUAAAUUACUAAAAGCAGAAAUGAAACAUAACUAGGGUGACGGUCGCGACUGCAGUCUAGCUAGUACGUCCUCCCGUCAUGCCCGAAAGCUAACUCCUUGUCCGGACCACCUAGGGAAAUCACUACAACAAAAACGGUCUAUAGCGACACUUUUAAAUGUAGUUACAUGUCAACAAAGUGCUGCUAGCUAAAAUUACCGACACUUUUAAAAAGUGUUGCUAUAUGUGGGGUUGCUAGGUAUAUACUGACAGUUAAAGAGUGUCGCUAUAACCUAAAAGAGUGCUGCUAAUUUACGAACACUUAUUUAAGCAUUUAGCAACCGCCGAAACUCUAUCUCGUUGGCUGCGGUGGCGGAGGAGGACGACAGUAAAGGUUCUUCGUCUAGAAUUUCAGUGGAUUGAGUGAAGAGAGAAGAAAAGAUGGUAAUUGAUUUUUUUUUUUCCUUUUCUGUUUGUAAUCGGGCCAAAUGGACUGAGUGUGGUGGGUUGAGUAGAGUAAUCUUUUAUUUUUGGUUGGAUUGGGCUUUAUAUUUAGGCAUUAGUAGAUGCGUUUUUAAGUUUUAGCAUAAAUGUGACACUUACUCAAAAGUGUCCCAAACAUGUGUCCCUAUAACCUAAUUCUGUUGUA